AAGAACACUAUUUCAUUUUUCUAAUAUUCAAAUAUACACGUAAACAAACACGCUUUAUGCUAAUUUAUUUUUUAUGUUAAAUAGUUCGCUUGAGGCUUCUUGCAUUUCUAAUAUCUUUUUAUUUCGUUUCAAUUUUUUAUACUAUAUAAACAUGUAAUAAUCAAAAUAGGAAAAAACCACUAAUCAUAUAUUUGUAGUUUUUCAUUUAGAUCUAUCAAAUCCUUUUAGAUAUAGCCUCUCUCUCACACACACACACACACACAUACACGCACACAUAUUUAAAUAUACGUACAUAGAUAAGUAUGCGCUAGAAUGGUUCUUCUUUAAUGCAAACUAUUUGACCUUGUCGAACUUUGCGUCAUAACUCUUGUCGUUUGCCAAAUCUAGUUUUUGAAUCUGUAACUUAAUUCGAAAUCAAGAAUAAAUAUCUUUUAGUUUAAUUAUAUUUAUUCGUUUGUAAUCAAAUAGUUUAAAUAUUAAAUGACUAUUCUCGUGAUUUUAAAUUGGAUAUAUACGAGUUUGUUAAAAAAAAAGAAAAAGAAAAAAGAAAACUAGUUUAUACGUUUACUAAUCAAAUCAAUGACUAAACAACACGAUGUUGAAAGAAGAAUCGUUCGUUACUGUGUUAGAGAGAAAAAAAGAAAAAAAAUUCGAAUAAUCUCGUAAAAACGUUCCUUUGUUUCCAUUAUUACCGGAGACCGUAGAACUUACCGGUCACUGACCAGGUAGAGCAAUACGCUUGCUUGGCUAUUUUAGAUUCCAUUCCCAAAGUACGUAUGUUGGCAGCCGACUCUAAAUAGUGACUUUAAACACACAAAAUAAAAUCAAUUCUUACACUCUCGGAGACUCGUCUUGUCGCCAACUAUUCCUAACUGUACGACGAGUAGCUUCCGUAAAAUUUAACUCUUGCUAUUAAUCUAAUAAUUCAUAUACGUUAAUCAUAAAUCUUAUAUAAUACAGAAAAUAAAAAUGUAUACACAUUGUGUUCGUGUGUGUAUACAUUUACGAAUUAAAUGAAAUUAAUCAAACGUAAAAUAUAUAUUUGAAUAAAAGAAAAAGAAACGGUAAAUAAAAUUGGAUCUCGUUAAUUUUAUUCCAAGGAACAUCAGGGAUGCAUCAUAUUGUGUGGGGAUGAAUACAGCCGAUGAUGUCAUCACAGUGGACAGAUGAUAUCAAGGAUGAAAUAAUUUUUAUUUAUCAUAUCGAGAGGGAGAAAGAAAAUAAAAUUGAUAAAACUAAAUGAUAAUGGAGAAGAGUGUGAAGGAGUGGGGGGAAGGAUUCACGGACUAAGGAGAAUGGCAAAACAAUGUUUUUCUUUCUUUAUUCGUUCACAGGAGAAUCGUCGUCUAUUGCUGAUGUUGCUGUUGGUGGUGCACAUCGACCUGUCUUACCACUCUCGAUGAUGCCAAGAAACUGAAUCGGAAACUCGAGCAGUUGCGAAGGUGCACGAAUAAGAAAGUAAGGCGGGCUAAUUGUAAGUAUAGUGGUGUACGGUUUGCGCAUCAGCUGUGCGUUCGUUUAUUACUUUGGUUCAGUCUCACGGAAACAUCCGAACGCGUGAUACGUGGUUUUACGAGUAACGACGGCGGACGAGGACAAUAUCUUGCCGAUAUCCAUGGGUUACCGGUUAUUAUAUUAUUCAUUGAACAAAAACUUGGAUUGAGAAUUAAAACAGAAAAAUAAACAAAGAUGGAAUUACAUAGCAGUCCGGGCGUAACGUCAUCGAAAAAAAUUUCCGUUCAUGGUGAUGAGACAGCAUUCAAGGAAUCUCUUGGAAAUGGCGGUACUUACGGAGCAUUCCAAUCAAAGGAUCCGAUUUUAUCUAUAGAAAAAGGUGGAGAAAUGAUACAUGGACCUGACGAACAUGGAAUGACUGUAGAUCAUCCUACUUCGUAUAUUGAGACCAUGAUGCACCUGUUCAAGGGUAACGUCGGUUCCGGUAUUUUUGCAUUAGGCGACGCUUUUAAACAUGCAGGAUUAUUAUUGGCACCACCAUUAACCAUCUUCCUCGGUGUCAUUUGCGUCCACGCUCAACACAUUCUUGUACAAUGUAACGAAGAAGUUAAACGUCGUAUAGGUGAUUCAACUAUUCAGCCUAGUUUUGCUGGUACUGUUGAAUUAUGUUUCGCUACGGGACCAUUAGCUCUUAGAAAAUAUUCCGUUUUUAUGAGAAAAAUGGUUAAUUUAUUUUUAUGCGUAACACAACUCGGAUUCUGCUGCGUUUAUUUCGUUUUUAUAUCGACCAAUAUGCAACAGGUAUUGGAUGCCCACAAUGUUAAAAUGAGCGUUCACCAACACAUGGCAAUAGUUUUGAUACCAAUUGUACUCAGCACAUGGAUUAGAAAUUUGAAAUAUUUGGUACCUAUUACAUCCAUAGCCAAUUUCUUGGUAACAGCUGGUUAUAUUGCAACAAUUUAUAUUAUGAGUCAAGAUUUACCAGCAAUUUCUGAGAGAAGGUAUGUCGCCGAUUGGCAUGAGUUGCCACUAUUCUUCGGCACUGUUAUAUAUUCCUUCGAAGGUAUCACUUUGGUGUUACCAUUGAAAAACGAAAUGAAGAAACCAAGUAAUUUCAACAAACCAUUGGGAGUUUUGAACGUAGGUAUGGUCAUCGUGGCUUUUAUGUUCGUAGCAAUGGGUUUUUUAUCUUAUUUAAAAUAUGGUGACGAUGUACGUGGUUCAGUCACGUUAAAUCUCGAAUUAAAUGAGGUAGUGGACGGGAAAAAGAUCUACUCGCAGCUUACCUCAGUGCAUCAAGAUUGCUAUUUCUUUGAGCAUUUUGUUGACCUACGCAUUACAAUUUUACGUACCAAUUGCUAUCAUUUGGCCUGGUAUUGUUGAACAAUUUGGACCAUUUAAAUGGCCAGUAGUAGCAGAAAUUGUUUUUCGAUCUGCUGUAUGUUUUGUUACUUUUGUAUUGGCCGAGGCAAUACCAGAACUGGGUUUGUUCAUAUCAUUGGUUGGUGCAGUUAGUAGUACAGCACUGGCAUUACUAUUU
This 2995-nucleotide unclassified non-coding RNA is filed under the name Polistes dominula (European paper wasp). Its description in RNAcentral is "proton-coupled amino acid transporter 1-like, transcript variant X1". The record is from RNAcentral. Lineage: Eukaryota; Metazoa; Arthropoda; Insecta; Hymenoptera; Vespidae.